Molecule: ribosomal RNA, 927 nt
Filed under: Triticum aestivum (bread wheat)
Lineage: Eukaryota; Viridiplantae; Streptophyta; Magnoliopsida; Poales; Poaceae
Description: partial small subunit ribosomal RNA
Source: RNAcentral
AUGACCGACAAAUUCAUCAUCAAGAAGAUCCUAAGAGUCUUGGAUGGAAAAUAUGAUAUCGUGUGCACAUUGAUCCAAAUGAUGCCCAAUUACAAAGAUCUCAAGCCAACGGAAGUCAUUGGAAGAAUUGUUGCUCAUGAGAUGUCACUCAAGGAUAAGGAGGAGCUCCACAACAAGUCAAGUGGUGCUUACAAAGCCUCAUGUGAAGCUCCCACAUCAUCAAGUGAGAAACAAACCUUCAAUGAAGAAUUGAGCCUAAUGGUGAAGAACUUCAACAAGUUCUACAAGAGUAGAAGAAAGAAAAUAAGUUCCAAGUCAAGGUCCUACAAUGACAAAAGAUAUUCUAGUCAUGAGUGUAAUUGCUACAAUUGUGGAAGACCCGGACACUAUUCCGAUGAAUGUACGUCUCCCUACAAAAGAAGAGAAGACUCUCCAAAAAGAAGUAGAAGAGAAGAAUCACCAUCAAGAGAAAGGAGUGGAGAUGAUCAUUGUGAACAAAGAACAUCCCGAAGAAGCAAGGAUUCGGAAAGGAAGGACAAGUCAUUAAGGAGCUACACAAAACGAAGACAUCAAGCUCAUGUUGGUGAAUGGGUAUCCGGCUCCGACUCCGACAAUCACUUCGAGAGAAGCUAUCACUCCGACUCCGAACAUACUCAAGAUGAAGGUGUUGCCGGUCUAGCACUUGUGUCAACCAACUCAUACAACAUAUUUGACUCACCAAAUGAAGGGAUUGGAAGAUGCUUCAUGGCUAAAGGCCCAAAGGUAACACACCCCGAGUAUGUUGAUUUUAAUAGUGAUGAAGAUGACUUGUUAGGUGAUGUUGAUUUACUUGUUGACAACUCUAGUGAUGAAACAUCAAAUAAUCAUGCCAAUCAAGAUAAAACGAAUGACAAUGAUAAGGAGAAGAUUGAGCACCUAACUAAAUAA